UGUUGAUUUGGCAGAUUAGUGUAUUAAAUUUAGAAUUUAAUAAUGUAAUUGAUUUUACAUUCAAUAA
Molecule: transfer RNA, 67 nt
Filed under: Pediopsoides anchorides
Lineage: Eukaryota; Metazoa; Arthropoda; Insecta; Hemiptera; Cicadellidae
Description: tRNA-Leu
Source: RNAcentral